This 917-nucleotide long non-coding RNA is filed under the name Vigna radiata. RNAcentral's name for it is "long non-coding RNA (VRAD_LNC003134)". The record is from RNAcentral. Lineage: Eukaryota; Viridiplantae; Streptophyta; Magnoliopsida; Fabales; Fabaceae.
UCACAAUCUUCAGAAAAUGAGAUUUGUAAGUGAGAUGCGCUCGCUUCAGAGAGAAACCAAAAGAGCUGUUCUUAAACCAGUCAAAGGUCACUUCUUUCUGAUUCUCUCUUCUUCCUGUCAUCCAUUACUUAUUAGAGUAAAGAUUCAUGCCAUGUGUUGGAGAAAAUACCUAUUUAAUCUAAACCAUGAUUUUUAGUUACCAUAUUGAACACUUUCACAAAUCCAUUUGAUUCACCCUUCACAAAAGUACACCAACCACCUAGAUAGCUAUGACUGAUAGGACACUGGAAAUGGAGCUAAAACGAAAUUACUUAUUCAUCACACUGUUCAUUAUUUUGGGUCCCGUGAAGAAGCAGGAUUUCAUGCCCAGAACAAGGAAAUAUCAAACUACAGCUCAUACAAUUCCACUUGGUGCCACUACAAUGGGGCUCCUAACACUGUGUGUUCCACCAUCUUCGAUCCAAACAAGAUCACCGUACGAGAUAUUUUCCUUCUUGUACUUGCUAUACUUUAUCAGCACAUGGUAGCUUAGCUUCUCAUUUCUGUAUCUGAAUGAUAAUGUCUCAGGUGACACUGUCAGCACAGAACCCUUCGGUUCUGUCACCUUGGCUCUGUGUAUGGCAGCACCAUCUCCAACAUUGGUCACUGUCCUCUUAAAUUUGAGGACGACUGACCUUGUUUUGUUGCUGUAGAGAGCUAUGAAUGAAGGGUAGUUAAGAUCAAACGAUGGUUUAGUACAAUUAUAGGAACCUGAUCUUGUAAUGGUUAAGAUCUGUUUUUGUGUGUAAUUCAAAGCACAAAGGAGAUUGACGUAGUCCUGUGGGGUGGCAUCAUAUAUCAAACCUGGAUCAAGUGCUUUGUUAGGGUCAAUUUGACCUGCUCCCAUGUCUAGAGGGGAAGCAUAUUGAGAAGGNNNN